GAGGCGNGNCUAUCAUGCAGUAGAACGCUGAAGAGAGGAGCUUGCUCUUCUUGGAUGAGUUGCGAACGGGUGAGUAACGCGUAGGUAACCUGCCUUGUAGCGGGGGAUAACUAUUGGAAACGAUAGCUAAUACCGCAUAACAAUGGAUGACCCAUGUCAUUUAUUUGAAAGGGGCAAAUGCUCCACUACAAGAUGGACCUGCGUUGUAUUAGCUAGUAGGUGAGGUAACGGCUCACCUAGGCGACGAUACAUAGCCGACCUGAGAGGGUGAUCGGCCACACUGGGACUGAGACACGGCCCAGACUCCUACGGGAGGCAGCAGUAGGGAAUCUUCGGCAAUGGGGGCAACCCUGACCGAGCAACGCCGCGUGAGUGAAGAAGGUUUUCGGAUCGUAAAGCUCUGUUGUAAGUCAAGAACGAGUGUGAGAGUGGAAAGUUCACACUGUGACGGUAGCUUACCAGAAAGGGACGGCUAACUACGUGCCAGCAGCCGCGGUAAUACGUAGGUCCCGAGCGUUGUCCGGAUUUAUUGGGCGUAAAGCGAGCGCAGGCGGUUUGAUAAGUCUGAAGUAAAAGGCUGUGGCUCAACCAUAGUUCGCUUUGGAAACUGUCAAACUUGAGUGCAGAAGGGGAGAGUGGAAUUCCAUGUGUAGCGGUGAAAUGCGUAGAUAUAUGGAGGAACACCGGUGGCGAAAGCGGCUCUCUGGUCUGUAACUGACGCUGAGGCUCGAAAGCGUGGGGAGCGAACAGGAUUAGAUACCCUGGUAGUCCACGCCGUAAACGAUGAGUGCUAGGUGUUGGAUCCUUUCCGGGAUUCAGUGCCGCAGCUAACGCAUUAAGCACUCCGCCUGGGGAGUACGACCGCAAGGUUGAAACUCAAAGGAAUUGACGGGGGCCCGCACAAGCGGUGGAGCAUGUGGUUUAAUUCGAAGCAACGCGAAGAACCUUACCAGGUCUUGACAUCCCGAUGCUAUUUCUAGAGAUAGAAAGUUACUUCGGUACAUCGGUGACAGGUGGUGCAUGGUUGUCGUCAGCUCGUGUCGUGAGAUGUUGGGUUAAGUCCCGCAACGAGCGCAACCCCUAUUGUUAGUUGCCAUCAUUCAGUUGGGCACUCUAGCGAGACUGCCGGUAAUAAACCGGAGGAAGGUGGGGAUGACGUCAAAUCAUCAUGCCCCUUAUGACCUGGGCUACACACGUGCUACAAUGGUUGGUACAACGAGUUGCGAGUCGGUGACGGCAAGCUAAUCUCUUAAAGCCAAUCUCAGUUCGGAUUGUAGGCUGCAACUCGCCUACAUGAAGUCGGAAUCGCUAGUAAUCGCGGAUCAGCACGCCGCGGUGAAUACGUUCCCGGGCCUUGUACACACCGCCCGUCACACCACGAGAGUUUGUAACACCCGAAGUCGGUGAGGUAACCUUUGGAGCCAGCCGCCUAAGUGA
This 1437-nucleotide ribosomal RNA is filed under the name bacterium NLAE-zl-P567. RNAcentral's name for it is "bacterial SSU rRNA". It matches the Rfam family "Bacterial small subunit ribosomal RNA". The record is from RNAcentral.